CAGGACGACGCUGGCGGCGUGCCUAAUACAUGCAAGUCGAACGGCUUUUCCAUGGAAGCUUGCUUCCACUGAGAAGAUAGUGGCGAACGGGUGAGUAACACGUGGGUAACCUGCCCAUAAGAGGGGGAGUAACAUCCGGAAACGGGUGCUAAUACCGCAUAGUUUUCUUGAUCGCAUGAUCGGGAAAGGAAAGACGGCCUUUGUGCUGUCGCUUAUGGAUGGACCCGCGGCGUAUUAGUUAGUUGGUGAGGUAACGGCUCACCAAGACGAUGAUACGUAGCCGACCUGAGAGGGUGAUCGGCCACAUUGGGACUGAGACACGGCCCAAACUCCUACGGGAGGCAGCAGUAGGGAAUCUUCCGCAAUGGACGAAAGUCUGACGGAGCAACGCCGCGUGAGUGAAAGAAGGUUUUCGGAUCGUAAAACUCUGUUGUCAGAGAAGAACAAGUUGGAGAGUAACUGCUCCAGCCUUGACGGUAUCUGACCAGAAAGCCACGGCUAACUACGUGCCAGCCGCGGC
Molecule: ribosomal RNA, 520 nt
Filed under: uncultured bacterium
Lineage: Bacteria
Description: bacterial SSU rRNA
Rfam family: Bacterial small subunit ribosomal RNA
Source: RNAcentral